Molecule: ribosomal RNA, 547 nt
Filed under: uncultured bacterium
Lineage: Bacteria
Description: bacterial SSU rRNA
Rfam family: Bacterial small subunit ribosomal RNA
Source: RNAcentral
GGAAUAUUGGGCAAUGGAGGAAACUCUGACCCAGCGACGCCGCGUGAGGGAUGAAGGCCUUCGGGUUGUAAACCUCUUUCAGUAGGGAAGAAGCGAAAGUGACGGUACCUACAGAAGAAGCACCGGCUAACUAUGUGCCAGCAGCCGCGGUAAUACAUAGGGUGCAAGCGUUGUCCGGAAUUAUUGGGCGUAAAGAGCUCGUAGGUGGUUCGAUACGUCGGAUGUGAAAAUCAGGGGCUCAACCCCUGACCUGCAUUCGAUACGGUCGAGCUAGAGUUUGGUAGGGGAGACUGGAAUUCCUGGUGUAGCGGUGGAAUGCGCAGAUAUCAGGAGGAACACCGAUGGCGAAGGCAGGUCUCUGGGCCAAUACUGACACUGAGGAGCGAAAGCGUGGGGAGCGAACAGGAUUAGAUACCCUGGUAGUCCACGCCGUAAACGGUGGGCGCUAGUUGUGCGAACCUUCCACGGUUUGUGCGACGCAGCUAACGCAUUAAGCGCCCCGCCUGGGGAGUACGAUCGCAAGAUUAAAACUCAAAGGAAUUGACGG